Small nuclear RNA from Ipomoea nil (Japanese morning glory), 161 nucleotides. It matches the Rfam family "U1 spliceosomal RNA". Rfam says of the family: U1 is a small nuclear RNA (snRNA) component of the spliceosome (involved in pre-mRNA splicing). Its 5' end forms complementary base pairs with the 5' splice junction, thus defining the 5' donor site of an intron. The record is from Rfam. Lineage: Eukaryota; Viridiplantae; Streptophyta; Magnoliopsida; Solanales; Convolvulaceae.
AUACUUACCUGGACGGGGUCAAUGGGUGAUCAACAAGGCCCAUGGCCUAGGUUGAUGACUUCCAUUGCACUUUGGAAGGGUGUUAACCUAAGGUCUACCUUAAUGGUGGAGCCUACGUCAUAAUUUGUUAUAGAGGGGGCCUGUGUUCGCGCGGCCCCUAC